This 378-nucleotide unclassified non-coding RNA is filed under the name uncultured bacterium. RNAcentral describes it as "contains 16S-23S intergenic spacer region". The record is from RNAcentral.
UCCGGUUUGGCACCGGCAGUCCUCCCAGAGUCCUCGGCAUGACCCGGUAGCAACUGGGAGCGGGGGUUGCGCUCGUUGCGGGACUUAACCCAACAUCUCACGACACGAGCUGACGACAGCCAUGCACCACCUGUGACGGUGCCCCGAAGGGAGACCGUGUUUCCACGGCUGUCACCGACAUGUCCAGCCUGGGUAAGGUUCUUCGCGUUGCGUCGAAUUAAACCACAUGCUCCACCGCUUGUGCGGGCCCCCGUCAAUUCCUUUGAGUUUCAGCCUUGCGGCCGUACUCCCCAGGCGGGGCACUUACUGCGUUAGCGACGGCACUCAGAGGGUCGCUCCCCCAAGCACCUAGUGCCCAUCGUUUACGGCGUGGACUAC